GACGAACGCUGGCGGCGUGCCUAAUACAUGCAGGUAGAACGCUGAAGGAGGAGCUUGCUCUUCUGGAUGAGUUGCGAACGGGUGAGUAACGCGUAGGUAACCUGCCUGGUAGCGGGGGAUAACUAUUGGAAACGAUAGCUAAUACCGCAUAAGAGUAGAUGUUGCAUGACAUUUGCUUAAAAGGUGCAAUUGCAUCACUACCAGAUGGACCUGCGUUGUAUUAGCUAGUUGGUGGGGUAACGGCUCACCAAGGCGACGAUACAUAGCCGACCUGAGAGGGGGUUCGGCACCCUGGGACUUGGACCACGGCCCAGCUCCCUACGGGAGGCAGAAGAGGGGAACUUUCGCCAAUGGACGGAGGCCUGACCGAGCAACGCCGCGUGAGUGAAGAGGGUUUCCGGACCGUAAAGCUCUGUUUUAAGGGAGAACGAGUGUGAGAGUGGAAAGUUCACACUGUGACGGUAUCUUACCAGAAAGGGACGGCUAACUACGUG
Molecule: ribosomal RNA, 494 nt
Filed under: uncultured bacterium
Lineage: Bacteria
Description: partial 16S ribosomal RNA
Rfam family: Bacterial small subunit ribosomal RNA
Source: RNAcentral